This 307-nucleotide ribosomal RNA is filed under the name uncultured bacterium. Its description in RNAcentral is "bacterial SSU rRNA". It matches the Rfam family "Bacterial small subunit ribosomal RNA", at positions 29 to 361 of the family's 1533-position model. The record is from RNAcentral.
AACGAACGCUGGCGGCAUGCCUAACACAUGCAAGUCGAACGCGUGUAGCAAUACACGAGUGGCGGACGGGUGAGUAACGCGUGGGAACCUGCCCAAUGGUAGGGAAUAACUGCGGGAAACUGCAGCUAAUACCCUAUGCUCCCUACGGGGGAAGAUUUAUCGCCAUUGGAGGGGCCCGCGUCGGAUUAGCUAGUUGGCGGGGUAACGGGCCCACCAAGGCUACGAUCCGUAGCUGGUCUGAGAGGAUGAUCAGCCACACUGGGACUGAGAUACGGCCCAGACUCCUACGGGAGGCAGCAGUGGGGAA